CCUACGGGUGGCAGCAGUGAGGAAUAUUGGUCAAUGGGCGCGAGCCUGAACCAGCCAAGUAGCGUGAAGGAUGACUGCCCUACGGGUUGUAAACUUCUUUUAUAAAGGAAUAAAGUGAGGCACGAGUGCCUUUUUGUAUGUACUUUAUGAAUAAGGAUCGGCUAACUCCGUGCCAGCAGCCGCGGUAAUACGGAGGAUCCGAGCGUUAUCCGGAUUUAUUGGGUUUAAAGGGAGCGGAGAUGGGUUGUUAAGUCAGUGGUGAAAGUUUGGGGCUCAACCGUAAAAUAGCAAUUGAUACUGGCAGCCUUGAGUACAGGUGAGGUAGGCGGAAUUCGGGGUGUAGCGGUGAAAUGCUUAGAUAUCACGAAGAACUCCGAUUGCGAAGGCAGCUUACUAAACUGCCACUGACAUUGAUGCACGAAAGUGUGGGUAUCAAACAGGAUUAGAUACCCGAGUAGUC
Molecule: ribosomal RNA, 460 nt
Filed under: uncultured bacterium
Lineage: Bacteria
Description: partial 16S ribosomal RNA
Rfam family: Bacterial small subunit ribosomal RNA
Source: RNAcentral